This 197-nucleotide ribosomal RNA is filed under the name Fructilactobacillus sanfranciscensis. RNAcentral describes it as "Lactobacillus sanfranciscensis partial 16S ribosomal RNA". It matches the Rfam family "Bacterial small subunit ribosomal RNA", at positions 337 to 525 of the family's 1533-position model. The record is from RNAcentral. Lineage: Bacteria; Bacillati; Bacillota; Bacilli; Lactobacillales; Lactobacillaceae.
UCCUACGGGAGGCAGCAGUAGGGAAUCUUCCACAAUGGACGAAAGUCUGAUGGAGCAACGCCGCGUGAGUGAAGAAGGGUUUCGGCUCGUAAAACUCUGUUGUUAGAGAAGAACAGCCGUGAGAGCAACUGCUCACUGGUAUGACGGUAUCUAACCAGAAAGUCACGGCUAACUACGUGCCAGCAGCCGCGGUAAUA